UUACGGCCAUAUCACGGAGAAACACCGGUUCCCGUACGAUCACCGAAGUUAAACAACGUUGAACCUGGUCUGUACCUAGAUGGGUGACUGUAUCGGAACGCCAUGCGC
Non-coding RNA from Acanthosepion pharaonis, 108 nucleotides. Lineage: Eukaryota; Metazoa; Mollusca; Cephalopoda; Sepiida; Sepiidae. The record is from the annotation of a GenBank genome assembly.